CGUAGGGUGCGAGCGUUAAUCGGAAUUACUGGGCGUAAAGCGUGCGCAGGCGGUUUUGUAAGACAGAUGUGAAAUCCCCGGGCUCAACCUGGGACCUGCAUUUGUGACUGCAAGGCUAGAGUACGGUAGAGGGGGAUGGAAUUCCGCGUGUAGCAGUGAAAUGCGUAGAUAUGCGGAGGAACACCGAUGGCGAAGGCAAUCCCCUGGACCUGUACUGACGCUCAUGCACGAAAGCGUGGGGAGCAAACAGGAUUAGAUACCCUGGUAGCCCACGCCCUAAACGAUGUCAACUGGUUGUUGGGUCUUUACUGACUCAGUAACGAAGCUAACGCGUGAAGUUGACCGCCUGGGGAGUACGGCCGCAAGGUUG
This 370-nucleotide ribosomal RNA is filed under the name uncultured organism. RNAcentral describes it as "bacterial SSU rRNA". It matches the Rfam family "Bacterial small subunit ribosomal RNA", at positions 526 to 896 of the family's 1533-position model. The record is from RNAcentral.